RNAcentral lists this ribosomal RNA (496 nucleotides) under uncultured bacterium. RNAcentral describes it as "partial 16S ribosomal RNA". It matches the Rfam family "Bacterial small subunit ribosomal RNA", at positions 29 to 507 of the family's 1533-position model. The record is from RNAcentral.
AUGAACGCUGGCGGCGUGCCUCAUACAUGCCAGUCGAGCGAACAGACGAGGAGCUUGCUCCUCUGACGUUAGCGGCGGACGGGUGAGUAACACGUGGAUAACCUACCUAUAAGACUGGGAUCACUUCGGGAAACCGGAGCUAAUACCGGAUAAUAUAUUGAACCGCAUGGUUCAAUAGUGAAAGACGGUUUUGCUGUCACUUAUAGAUGGAUCCGCGCCGCAUUAGCUAGUUGGUAAGGUAACGGCUUACCAAGGCAACGAUGCGUAGCCGACCUGAGAGGGUUAUCGGCCACACUGGAACUGAGACACGGGCCAGACUCCUACGGGAGGCAGCAGUAGGGAAUCUUCCGCAAUGGGCGAAAGCCUGACGGAGCAACGCCGCGUGAGUGAUGAAGGUCUUCGGAUCGUAAAACUCUGUUAUUAGGGAAGAACAAAUGUGUAAGUAACUAUGCACGUCUUGACGGUACCUAAUCAGAAAGCCACGGCUAACUAUGUG